GAGUUUUGAUCAUGGCUCAGGAUGAACGCUAGCUACAGGCUUAACACAUGCAAGUCGAGGGGCAGCAUGGUCUUAGCUUGCUAAGGCCGAUUGGCGACCGGCGCACGGGUGAGUAACACGUAUCCAACCUGCCGUCUACUCUUGGACAGCCUUCUGAAAGGAAGAUUAAUACAAGAUGGCAUCAUGAGUCCGCAUGUUCACAUGAUUAAAGGUAUUCCGGUAGACGAUGGGGAUGCGUUCCAUUAGAUAGUAGGCGGGGUAACGGCCCACCUAGUCUUCGAUGGAUAGGGGUUCUGAGAGGAACGGUCCCCCACAUUGGAACUGAGACACGGUACCAAACUCCUACGGGAGGCAGCA
RNAcentral lists this ribosomal RNA (357 nucleotides) under uncultured bacterium. Its description in RNAcentral is "bacterial SSU rRNA". It matches the Rfam family "Bacterial small subunit ribosomal RNA", at positions 9 to 353 of the family's 1533-position model. The record is from RNAcentral.